UUCUCACGUCUCACCUUCAACGUCAUCUUUCUCUUUCUUUCUUUCUCUCUUUCUCUCUCUCUCUCUCUCUCUAUAUAUAUAUAUAUAUAUAUAUAUAUAUAUAUAUAUCACGGGCGGAAAUCGCUUAAGCCACGCUGGCAAUUUCCCCAGCAACGAUGGAGCUCCAAUCACGAAGAAACCACCACCCUCUUCUUCCUCUUCUCAUCCUCUUUCCAACCUCAACCAUCAUUAUCUCUAACGCCUAAUAAAAUACACAAAAUCUCAACCUAAAGUAAACCCUAAUUUCAUGGAAAACCCAAAUUAAACACUACUAGAUUAUUGAUUCUAGCAAUAGUCAUGGGGAAAUGAGUCAUAGUAAUAAGAGGGGCAAGACUCUAUGAAGAAAUUGGUGAAAAGAAGGAUGAAGACCCUACCAACGCAACAAAGGAUUGUUUCGGUCAAGUGUUGAAACGCAGAAGCUGAUGAACAAGAAACCCUGAGAAGCAAAUAAAUCUAGGUUGGCUAAAUGGUCAUGAAGUCGUGAUUUUAGAGAUUGCUUGAUCAUGAAGAAAAAUGAUGGCCUUUAAAAAAUACAAUGGGAGUGAGUUGAAGACAGUGAGAUGAAAGUUACUGUAAGUCAUGGUCCAAUAUUUAGGGUCAAUGGUCAAGCUUUGGUCAAUUGUUUGAGCAGAAGUCAACAACUGACUUUUGGUCAACUGUGGGUCAAAACUUGGAUUUUUCACGUAUCAAUUUUGUAAUGUUUUUUCUUGUAAUUUGGUACAUUUGAAUGGAUUUUGGCAAUAUGAAUGUAAUGUUGAAUUUUCAAUGUAGUAUUGAUUUGCAUUUUAAGAAACAAAGCUCCUUUGUAUUCUCCCUCCA
Lathyrus oleraceus (garden pea) is the source of this 858-nucleotide long non-coding RNA. RefSeq lists it as uncharacterized. The record is from RefSeq and is a predicted model, not a curated record. The transcript is spliced from 2 exons. NCBI's taxonomy places the organism in Eukaryota, Viridiplantae, Streptophyta, Magnoliopsida, Fabales, Fabaceae.